CAUGUAGGGUCACGAAAGACAGGUUAUGCAGAGUUAGAGUCUAGGUCCACUACAAAAAUUGAUUUGGAAUUAAAUAAUAUAAUACCGUGGAUAUGGAAGAGAGUAAUGACCAUACCCAGAGUCAAAUAUAAUUUUAAAAUUGGUUGCUGGGACUUAGAUGAACAUAAGUGAAAAACAGAAGUGUAUUUAGUGAAAAUGAAACUAAACGACAUGGUUAAAACCGAAAGUGAAAUAAAAGACUAUUAAGAGAAUAGAGUGAAACAAAUGGAUAAAUGUGUUAGGAAAGAAAUUAGUCGUGGAAACCACGGACAAAAGUAUAAAUACACGAAGACUGAUUAUAAUGAUUUUUCGUAUGCUAGUUUUUGUGACAAAGAUAGAGAAAAUAUGGAUUGUAGUGAUUUCCUAAACGGUACCGACCCUUUUACUGGAAACCUGACGAGUGAAAUUUUAAGUGUAAAAAGGAAAUUAUAUUUGAAAAGAUUGAAUAUAAGAAGGAAGAAAGAUGAGAAGGGAGUAUAUAGGAAUAAUUUAGUUUUCUUUUAUGACGCAGUUUAUGGUUUGAAAGGUGCGGAGUGUGGAAAAAUUAUCAGUAGCUUAGGGUGACCAUAUGCGCCGUUUAUACGGGACACGUCCCGGCCAGGAUUUUAAUAUUGCCUAAAAUAUCCAGGUUUUGGCUGUUUGCAGGUCGAUCGUUGUGCGACAUUCAUGAGAGCUAGAGAGCAGAGCAGACGGCUCCUUAUGCUUUCGGAUCGCUCUCGCACCUACUUUGCUGUCUUUUUGAGCAGUGACGAUUCUAUCAAACGAACGAACGAACGAACACGUGCGCAUAUUGCAUCGCUUUGAUUGUUCCAUGUAGAUCUCGCCUUCUCACGCGCAGCCCCACGAUUGGUCGAUUAUGUAUAAUACCUGCAUGUUAUUGGUCAAACUGCUUUGGACGUUUUAGGCAAUAUUAAAAUCUGGCCGGGACGUGUCCCGUAUGAACGGCGCAUAUGGUCACCCUACAGUAGCUGCUCUAAAGAUUUUGAUCCUUUGACUAUUAAUCAAGUGGCUACAGUUCUGUGUUACUGGAGUGCAAGUAUAGUCCCGCUGCCCUGGACUUUAAAGAGGAGUAAGUUAGCUAAUAGAGCGUUGUAUGAAGUCUCCCGUUCGUCUGCCUGGUUUCUCGUCAUCGCUGUUCGUCUGCCUGGUUUCUCGUCA
Long non-coding RNA from Cyprinus carpio carpio, 1197 nucleotides. The record is from Ensembl. NCBI's taxonomy places the organism in Eukaryota, Metazoa, Chordata, Actinopteri, Cypriniformes, Cyprinidae.